CCUCGGCCGCGGGAAAUUCGAUUAGUUUGAUCCUGGCUCAGAACGAACGCUGGCGGCAGGCCUAACACAUGCAAGUCGAGCGCUACCUUCGGGUGGAGCGGUGGACGGGUUAGUAACGCGUGGGAAUAUACCCAGUUCUAAGGAAUAGCCACUGGAAACGGUGAGUAAUACCUUAUACGCCCUUCGGGGGAAAGAUUUAUCGGAAUUGGAUUAGCCCGCGUUAGAUUAGAUAGUUGGUGGGGUAAUGGCCUACCAAGUCUACGAUCUAUAGCUGGUUUGAGAGGAUGAUCAGCAACACUGGGACUGAGACACGGCCCAGACUCCUACGGGAGGCAGCAGUGGGGAAUCUUAGACAAUGGGCGCAAGCCUGAUCUAGCCAUGCCGCGUGAAUGAUGAAGGCCCUAGGGUCGUAAAAGCUCUUUCAACUGUGAAGAUAAUGACGGUAGCAGUAGAAGAAACCCCGGCUAACUCCGUGCCAACAGCCGCGGUUAAUACGGAAGGGGGGUUAGCGUUGUUCGGAAAUUACUGGGCGUAAAGCGUACGUAAGCGGGAUUAAUAR
RNAcentral lists this ribosomal RNA (559 nucleotides) under uncultured Alphaproteobacteria bacterium. RNAcentral describes it as "bacterial SSU rRNA". It matches the Rfam family "Bacterial small subunit ribosomal RNA", at positions 1 to 587 of the family's 1533-position model. Lineage: Bacteria; Pseudomonadati; Pseudomonadota; Alphaproteobacteria. The record is from RNAcentral.